This 48-nucleotide non-coding RNA is filed under the name Schistosoma mansoni. The record is from RNAcentral. Lineage: Eukaryota; Metazoa; Platyhelminthes; Trematoda; Strigeidida; Schistosomatidae.
AUCCUACUGACGAGUCCCAAAUAGGACGAAACGCUAGUCAAACUGGAU